Molecule: ribosomal RNA, 1080 nt
Filed under: Streptococcus mitis
Lineage: Bacteria; Bacillati; Bacillota; Bacilli; Lactobacillales; Streptococcaceae
Description: partial 23S ribosomal RNA
Rfam family: Bacterial large subunit ribosomal RNA
Source: RNAcentral
GUGGAUGCCUUGGCACUAGGAGCCGAAGAAGGACGUGACAAACGACGAUAUGCCUUGGGUAGCUGUAAGUAAGCGAUGAUCCAGGGAUUUCCGAAUGGGGGAACCCAACAGGUACUACCUGUUACCCGCAUCUGUUAAGGAUGUGAGGAGGAAGACGCAGUGAACUGAAACAUCUAAGUAGCUGCAGGAAGAGAAAGCAAAAGCGAUUGCCUUAGUAGCGGCGAGCGAAACGGCAGGAGGGCAAACCGAAGAGUUUACUCUUCGGGGUUGUAGGACUGCAAUGUGGACUCAAAGAUUAUAGAAGAAUGAUUUGGGAAGAUCAGCCAAAGAGAGUAAUAGCCUCGUAUUUAAAAUAGUCUUUGUACCUAGCAGUAUCCUGAGUACGGCGGGACACGUGAAAUCCCGUCGGAAUCUGGGAGGACCAUCUCCCAACCCUAAAUACUCCCUAGUGACCGAUAGUGAACCAGUACCGUGAGGGAAAGGUGAAAAGCACCCCGGGAGGGGAGUGAAAUAGAACCUGAAACCGUGUGCCUACAACAAGUUCGAGCCCGUUAAUGGGUGAGAGCGUGCCUUUUGUAGAAUGAACCGGCGAGUUACGUUAUGAUGCGAGGUUAAGUUGAAGAGACGGAGCCGUAGGGAAACCGAGUCUGAAUAGGGCGCCUUAGUAUCAUGACGUAGACCCGAAACCAUGUGACCUACCCAUGAGCAGGUUGAAGGUGCGGUAAGACGCACUGGAGGACCGAACCAGGGCACGUUGAAAAGUGCUUGGAUGACUUGUGGGUAGCGGAGAAAUUCCAAACGAACUUGGAGAUAGCUGGUUCUCUCCGAAAUAGCUUUAGGGCUAGCGUCGACAUAAAGAUUCUUGGAGGUAGAGCACUGUUUGGGUGAGGGGUCCAUCCCGGAUUACCAAUCUCAGAUAAACUCCGAAUGCCAAUGAAUUAUGGUCGGCAGUGAGACUGCGAGUGCUAAGAUCCGUAGUCGAAAGGGAAACAGCCCAGACCACCAGCUAAGGUCCCAAAAUAAUUGUUAAGUGGAAAAGGAUGUGGGGUUGCACAGACAACUAGGAUGUUAGCUUAGAAG